GGCGGUGGGGGAGGGCAG
This 18-nucleotide unclassified non-coding RNA is filed under the name Chlamydomonas reinhardtii. RNAcentral's name for it is "small RNA Cre_1868". The record is from RNAcentral. Lineage: Eukaryota; Viridiplantae; Chlorophyta; Chlorophyceae; Chlamydomonadales; Chlamydomonadaceae.